This 233-nucleotide ribosomal RNA is filed under the name uncultured Leptotrichia sp. Its description in RNAcentral is "partial 16S ribosomal RNA". It matches the Rfam family "Bacterial small subunit ribosomal RNA", at positions 122 to 356 of the family's 1533-position model. The record is from RNAcentral. Lineage: Bacteria; Fusobacteriati; Fusobacteriota; Fusobacteriia; Fusobacteriales; Leptotrichiaceae.
GAACUUGCCCUUUAGACUGGGAUAACAGAGGGAAACUUCUGAUAAUACUGGAUAAGUUAGUAUAUCGCAUGAUAUGCAAAUGAAAGCUACGGCACUAAAGGAGAGCUUUGCGUCCUAUUAGCUAGUUGGUAAGGUAAGAGCUUACCAAGGCGAUGAUAGGUAGCCGGCCUGAGAGGGUGGACGGCCACAAGGGGACUGAGAUACGGCCCUUACCUCCUACGGAGGCAGCAGCG